UUAUUUAGAGAGUUUGAUCCUGGCUCAGGACGAACGCUGGCGGCGUGCCUAACACAUGCAAGUCGAACGGAGCUUACUUAUCAGAUCCCUUCGGGGUGACGAUUUUUAAGCUUAGUGGCGGACGGGUGAGUAACGCGUGAGUAACCUGCCUUACAGAGGGGGACAACAGUUGGAAACGACUGCUAAUACCGCAUAACAUAUUUUGAGGGCAUCCUCGAGAUAUCAAAGGAGCAAUCCGCUGUAAGAUGGACUCGCGUCCAAUUAGAUAGUUGGUGGGGUAACGGCCCACCAAGUCGACGAUUGGUAGCCGGACUGAGAGGUUGAAC
This 326-nucleotide ribosomal RNA is filed under the name Oscillospiraceae bacterium. RNAcentral describes it as "bacterial SSU rRNA". It matches the Rfam family "Bacterial small subunit ribosomal RNA", at positions 1 to 305 of the family's 1533-position model. Lineage: Bacteria; Bacillati; Bacillota; Clostridia; Eubacteriales; Oscillospiraceae. The record is from RNAcentral.